Zygosaccharomyces bailii CLIB 213 is the source of this 119-nucleotide non-coding RNA. NCBI's taxonomy places the organism in Eukaryota, Fungi, Ascomycota, Saccharomycetes, Saccharomycetales, Saccharomycetaceae. The record is from Rfam.
GGUUGUUUGGCCGAGCGGUCUAAGGCGCCUGAUUCAAGAGUUCGACUCUUANUUGCGGUUAAUACGCAGCGAACACUCAGGUAUCGUAAGAUGCGUGAGUUCGAAUCUCACAGCAANGG